RNAcentral lists this ribosomal RNA (253 nucleotides) under uncultured bacterium. RNAcentral describes it as "partial 16S ribosomal RNA". It matches the Rfam family "Bacterial small subunit ribosomal RNA", at positions 526 to 779 of the family's 1533-position model. The record is from RNAcentral.
CGGAGGGUGCGAGCGUUGUCCGGAAUCACUGGGCGUAAAGGGCGCGUAGGCGGUCUGCUAAGCGUGUGGUGAAAGCUCGGGGCUCAACCCCGAGUCUGCCAUGCGAACUGGUGGACUUGAGCACUGUAGAGGCAGGUGGAAUUCCGGGUGUAGCGGUGGAAUGCGUAGAGAUCCGGAAGAACACCAGUGGCGAAGGCGGCCUGCUGGGCAGUUGCUGACGCUGAGGCGCGACAGCGUGGGAGCAAACAGGAUU